CUCAUGUUACAAAGAAAAAUCCCUUUUCUAGCCUCACAAGUCUUACCGGCGCCCUUCCUCAUUUUCUAAUCAGCCUUUGUUUGGUUUAGUAUUAAAAAGAAAAGGAGAAAAUAAGAAGUGUCUUUUGAAUGAAUGACGGUUCUCCUAAUUUACACAGUGCAAAAAUGUAUACAUGUUUGCUAUAACGAGCGGGUUGAUCCACUAAUUUUGUAUUCUUUCAUGAAUUUACCGCGAUAUGAAUUAAUACUUGCUUCAUCUAAAUGAAUUUAUCGAGCUUUAUGUUCCUAAAGCUUGGAUGUGGAAACUCAUACAUAUCAUGCGUUGACUUUCAGAUUUUGCAGAGUUCAAUAUGGAAAACGGUUAGUUUCUUGGGAAUUCAAAGGUUAGAUUGUUGCUUUCAUAUACAAAGCUUAGAAACAAUGCCUCAUUCUUCCUUUAGAAGGACAUUACUCUACAUUGUACUUUUAAUGAGCAAUUGCGGUAUACUCUUCCUUUUACCUAUUGUCUUGCAUACAAAAAUUCCAUAAUGCAACUACAUGCUUGUGUUAAAGGUUGAAUUUUAACAUUAAGAGCUUGGUUGAAGAGAAAACUCACCUCAAAAUGUUGACUCAUUGGACAAGGUUUGGUCUCCCUGUCCAUAGUUAGUUUGGUACUUUUUAAAUUAAAAUAUUUUAUUCCAAA
Cicer arietinum (chickpea) is the source of this 681-nucleotide non-coding RNA. The record is from RefSeq and is a predicted model, not a curated record. NCBI's taxonomy places the organism in Eukaryota, Viridiplantae, Streptophyta, Magnoliopsida, Fabales, Fabaceae.